RNAcentral lists this ribosomal RNA (420 nucleotides) under Mycobacterium sp. VITPRS28. RNAcentral's name for it is "bacterial SSU rRNA". It matches the Rfam family "Bacterial small subunit ribosomal RNA", at positions 9 to 430 of the family's 1533-position model. Lineage: Bacteria; Bacillati; Actinomycetota; Actinomycetes; Mycobacteriales; Mycobacteriaceae. The record is from RNAcentral.
CGAGUUUGAUCCUGGCUCAGGACGAACGCUGGCGGCGUGCUUAACACAUGCAAGUCGAACGGAAAGGCCCCUUCGGGGGUGCUCGAGUGGCGAACGGGUGAGUAACACGUGGGUGAUCUGCCCUGCACUUUGGGAUAAGCCUGGGAAACUGGGUCUAAUACCGAAUACACCUUCCUGGUUGCAUGGCUGGGUGGGGAAUGCUUUUGCGGUGUGGGAUGGGCCCGCGGCCUAUCAGCUUGUUGGUGGGGUGAUGGCCUACCAAGGCGACGACGGGUAGCCGGCCUGAGAGGGUGUCCGGCCACACUGGGACUGAGAUACGGCCCAGACUCCUACGGGAGGCAGCAGUGGGGAAUAUUGCACAAUGGGCGCAAGCCUGAUGCAGCGACGCCGCGUGAGGGAUGACGGCCUUCGGUUGUAACC